RNAcentral lists this unclassified non-coding RNA (22 nucleotides) under Chlamydomonas reinhardtii. RNAcentral describes it as "small RNA Cre_3224". The record is from RNAcentral. Lineage: Eukaryota; Viridiplantae; Chlorophyta; Chlorophyceae; Chlamydomonadales; Chlamydomonadaceae.
UGGACCCAAGGCCUGCUGGAGC